RNAcentral lists this ribosomal RNA (438 nucleotides) under uncultured bacterium. RNAcentral describes it as "bacterial SSU rRNA". It matches the Rfam family "Bacterial small subunit ribosomal RNA", at positions 85 to 518 of the family's 1533-position model. The record is from RNAcentral.
CAGAUGGCGACCGGCGCACGGGUGAGUAACACGUAUCCAACCUGCCGCUUACUCGGGGAUAGCCUUUCGAAAGAAAGAUUAAUACCCGAUGGUAUAAAGAGUUCGCAUGUUCUCUUUAUUAAAGAAUUUCGGUAAGCGAUGGGGAUGCGUUCCAUUAGAUAGUUGGCGGGGUAACGGCCCACCAAGUCUACGAUGGAUAGGGGUUCUGAGAGGAAGGUCCCCCCACAUUGGAACUGAGACACGGUCCAAACUCCUACGGGAGGCAGCAGUGAGGAAUAUUGGUCAAUGGACGAGAGUCUGAACCAGCCAAGUCGCGUGCAGGAAGAAUUGUCCUAUGGAUUGUAAACUGUCUUUUGCGAGGGGAAUAAAGUGCAUCACGUGUGAUGUUUUGUAUGUACUCUGCGAAUAAGGAUCGGCUAACUCCGUGCCAGCCGCCGC